RNAcentral lists this ribosomal RNA (265 nucleotides) under uncultured bacterium. RNAcentral describes it as "partial 16S ribosomal RNA". It matches the Rfam family "Bacterial small subunit ribosomal RNA", at positions 27 to 274 of the family's 1533-position model. The record is from RNAcentral.
GAACGAACGCUGGCGGCGUGCUUAACACAUGCAAGUCGAGCGGGAAAGUUUCCGUUCGGGAAGCGAGUACAGCGGCAGACGGGUGAGUACAACGUAGGUAACCUACCCUCGAGACCGGGAUAACCUGUCGAAAGACGGGCUAAUACCGGAUAAGACCACAAGGGCUGCGGCCUUUGAGGUAAAAGAUGGCCUCUGCUUGCAAGCUAUCACUUGGGGAUGGGCCUGCGCGCCAUUAGCAGUUGGUGAGGUAACGGCUCACCAAGGC